UUUAACAUUUUAUACAUUUAGGGGGCAUCAAUAGGGCACGUUUAUUACGUUUAAUACAUCUUAGGGGCAUUUAGAGGGCACUUUGUCUGCUUUGUUACAUUUCAGGGGCAUUUAGAGGGCACUUUUUAUGCAUUUUAGAGCUGGAGUUGCCACCGUCCUAUUUUCUGUCGUUGUUUAACCAAAUGAUUAAGAAACAACGAAAAAAACACGAUAAAAUUAAUUAUUAAUUCCCUUUUUUCCGGAGUGGACUGAAUUUCUGCCGUUUUAAAAUGGCCGACUAAUAAUGGCAGUUAUUUGAAGCUAACCGUUAGUCUAAAGCUGUUGUUGAGAGCGAGCCCACCUGAAGGAGAAGCUAACAUUAGCUAUGACACAAGCGUUGUGUGAAGGGGGCAUGGGAGACUCAAACCUGGCAACCCUGCAGGCAAAGUCUCCCUCGGCACUGUAGCUGCUGCCUCAUGCAUCUUUUAAAGAUGAGGAGGGAGGCUCCACUUUCUCACGCCAUGUAUGACGAGGAGGGAGAGAACACGAGACGGAGGAAACAGUAGGAACAAACAUGCUAAACCCACACACUGUGCUGCAGUAUGCUUCCAGAAAACUUCGCCACUUUCUCCUUUCUUCUGUGUCGUGAGGUAUUUCCCAAAACCCUGCCUCCUCUUCCUCUGCAUUUCGUGACGCUCUCGGUGAAUCUCAUCAGGGUAAUUAUUCGCACACAGGCAUCCGAAGCACGAGCAUCUGCCUCUCCUUCUGUUGACCUCCCCCUGCCUCCCCCUCAUUUUUUUUCUUUUUCCAUACUCUCUCCUCUCCUCUCAAACACACCUUUGCCUUCUUUCCUAAUCCCUUAUUGUCUUUUUUUUUCACGUAUCCUUCCUCUCUUCUCCUUAUGCUCAGCUCAUUCUGGUUAAGUAGAGCAUCUCUCCAAUUUAUUAGCCACUUCACAGCCGUUGCAAAUUGCAAACAUAUUUUGCUUACAUUCAAAAGGGAUGAGCAGAAAUAGAGGGUGACAGGGGGAGAAGAACAGAUUUGAUGCAGAAUAUAUAACAGGAGAGGCCUUUUAGGAAUAAGACAAAGCAGAUAAUUUGCACAUAUGCAAUGUGUCAUGAAAAACACUCCUCCUCCUCUAAAUAGAUGUGGUUAUUUAUGGUGGUUUUAAAAGGGCAUCAUAAACUGAAUGUAUCUUAUUCCUGAGUGAAUGCCUGCAAAAGUGGAGUUAUGAGGUCUACAGCAAAACCGAUGUCCACCACAGUCAAACUCUGUAAAUGUGCUUUUAAACGACUUAAUGGACUCGCUGCUGCAGCAGAGGUGAGUAGACCGACACUACAGGAUCAAAAUACUUUCUAUAAAGCAUAUGGUCAACAGAUGCUGACCUUGUGUUCUCACAUUGGAGAUGAUAGAUGCUUCUGUGUAGGUAGGACCAGCACAUUACCGACAGGAGGCUCUGCCAGGAAUCCAAGAGACUUAUUUAAAGGUGAAGCAAAUCCUCAAUGUGAAUGAGAAGUCUCGCAAAAGGUGGAAAAAACAACACAUUUUGACUCCAUGUAAACCUGAUUAAGGUAAAGCACAGAGGUGAUCCAGGAGAGACAUCAACCUAACAGGCUGGCAACAUUAAAACAAGGAUUUCCUGAUUUAAAACGUCAAAUGCAUCACUCCAAGAAUGGACACCCAGAGCAGCAAUGCUUAAACUCCAAAAUACAGCAGCUGAUUUUGAAAUCUGAAAUAUCCCAGGUGCCAGAAAUAUUUUAUAACCUAGCUCUUAUAACUUGAGACUAAAAUAAGUUUAAGUUUAUAUCAUUUGUAUUGCACCUUAAAAGCAAAACACAUUCUGCACUGCAGUGCUUCACAAGAACAGUCAUAGGCUAUGUACAGCCAGCAUAAAAACAGACAAUGUACAGUUCAGAGUAAACAAUAUGGAAAAUAAUACAAGAUUAAAAUAGGAACACUUUUAAUAGGGUAAACAUAAUAAAAAGUAAUGGUAUAAAAGUAGGUUUUAAGGUGUUUCUUAAAAGCCUCAACAGAGUUUGCCUGUCUCUGCCUGCUACAGAGAAAGCCCUAUCCCUGGUCUUUGUCUUCCUUACUUCAUAUACUUUAAACAAAAUAGAACACUACAUAAGAUUAAACAUACACAUCCAACAAGCUGCUUAAUUAGUGCGAUUAUAAGAUUUAAAACUGCAGCGCCAUUUUUAUUUUGUAUUCAUUUGCCAUGCUAGCAGCAGCGUGGCUUUAGGGAUAGCAUUCUGUUAGUUAGGUCACAUUUUUGCUCAAAAUAGAAAAAUCACAACAGCUAAAGUAGAAGAUUGGAUGUCAAUCUUCCUCUGGUGUUACAAUAAGUGUGUCUCUUUUUGACUGAGGUACCUCAAUACGCCAUAAAUGACUCUCAGUUUGAGUGUUAAGUCAUGAGCAAACGUCAGCAAAUACAUGGACACCACAAAUAAUCAAUGACUUACAUUAUAAUAACUUUAAAUUAUCCCUCUAAUAAAAGGUUCAGAAACCCACUUCAGUACGUCACGCUUUUGGAAAAUGUCCACAUCCAUAGUCGGGAAUAUGACCCCCUUUAAGAACACAUGACUACAAACCAUUUGAAUGCUGCAAACAAACCGAAUAUCUAAGUACUGGCUGUACUUUGUGUUGAAUGCAAAGUGGAGGAUAUUAGCAUAACAUGCUAAUAUACGAUGAAAAGGACUUUAGCUAAGAGCACCGCCGUACCUCAGUGGAACGGUGAGGCUUCUGCAGGCACAGCCGACGGAUCUCAGCCCUGUUGUUAUUGUGUUUUUCUCACUUAACCCCCUUUCUUCAUACACAUCUUCAAAGCCAUAUAACAGCCGCACAUUUCAGGCUUGUUGUGAAGCAUCACUGUCUUCACCUUCCCCACUUGCUAUAUGUCCUUGUUACACCCAUUGCAUCUGUUGGCACAUUUCUCUGGCACAUGCUGCGCUAUAAAUAGAAAAAACGGCAUCUGCAAUGAAUUUGUUCCUCUGUAAUGUUGCUUUGGAACAACUGCAACACCCUAUACAGAAGGCUUGGAUGUUCAGUAGCUUACACUAAGCUCAGAUACUAAACAUUAAAUGAUAGAAAUUAUUAAUUAAUUAAGAAGAGAGAAAUUAGUGGGAGGUUUGUACGUUUAUAACCUUGAGUUUGGUCCAAAAAUCCAAAAGUACAAGACAUCUGAAGGGAAAGUUUAAAUUGUAAGCGUGAGUUCAAGGAAACUGUACCGUCUUUGAUUUGGUUCGAACCGCGACCCUGUUAUCUGCAGACUUUCAGCCAGAUGCAUCCCUCAUAAACGUCUUUAGACGAUCAUUGAAAUCUUAAUAACAAUUAAACCAGUUUGCAUUCCCAGGAACUCCCUCUGUUUCAACAGCUGUGUAAACUCCACAAACACUGACACGUUCAGCUGAAGAUCUCCAGUUUACAGGGUCACUUUUAAAAUCAUAACACCGGGAGAGACGCAUUCACAGUGUGCUGAGAGAAGACUACUGUUACAAGCUGCUAAAUCAAGAGAAUCACAGCUUCUUCUUUUGAAAAGUACACACACAUAC
Notolabrus celidotus (New Zealand spotty) is the source of this 3530-nucleotide long non-coding RNA. RefSeq lists it as uncharacterized. NCBI's taxonomy places the organism in Eukaryota, Metazoa, Chordata, Actinopteri, Labriformes, Labridae. The record is from RefSeq and is a predicted model, not a curated record. The transcript has 3 exons.